GACGUAGGGCGCGAGCGUUGUCCGGAUUUAUUGGGCGUAAAGAGCUCGUAGGCGGCUUGUUACGUCGACUGUGAAAACCCGCGGCUCAACCGUGUGGCUUGCAGUCGAUACGGGCAGGCUAGAGUUCGGUAGGGGAGUCUGGAAUUCCUGGUGUAGCGGUGAAAUGCGCAGAUAUCAGGAGGAACACCGGUGGCGAAGGCGGGACUCUGGGCCGAUACUGACGCUGAGGAGCGAAAGCGUGGGGAGCAAACAGG
RNAcentral lists this ribosomal RNA (254 nucleotides) under uncultured bacterium. RNAcentral's name for it is "partial 16S ribosomal RNA". It matches the Rfam family "Bacterial small subunit ribosomal RNA", at positions 524 to 776 of the family's 1533-position model. The record is from RNAcentral.